This is a long non-coding RNA of Mirounga angustirostris (Northern elephant seal), 2655 nucleotides long. RefSeq lists it as uncharacterized. The record is from RefSeq and is a predicted model, not a curated record. Lineage: Eukaryota; Metazoa; Chordata; Mammalia; Carnivora; Phocidae. The transcript has 3 exons.
UAAAUUUUAAGCAGCUUUUAAAAAAUGAUACUAAAGGAAGUAUAUGAUUAUAAAAGAAACACAAAAUGUUGAAAUAUCCGAAGCUAUACACGGAGGCUGUGUGGAAAAACGAAGUCCUGCUCUCACCCAGCCCAGCCCACUCCAGAGGUCCCAGAAAGUAUUUAGGAAAAUCCAUCCUAAAAUUCAUAUGGAAUCCCAAGGGGCCACAAUAGCCAAAACCUUGAAAAAGAACAAAGUUAGAGGUUUCAUACUUCUUGAUUUUAAAGGUUGCUUUAGAAGCAAGCUGCUUAAAAUGCAAUGGACAUGGGCCCACAAGGACACUGCUACUGAGGGGUGAAUGGUGGAGCAGAUGGACACUCCACCUUGCUCAGUGUCUAGACUUGAAAAAAGAAGACCUCCAUAGACCACAAUGAAGUAGGGCAGUUGUGAGAAGAAAAAACAAACAAAACAAACAAACAAACAGGCUGAGUCCUUAACGUUUAUAAUCAGGAGAAAAUACAAGAUACUCAUCAAAGGCUGACAAGGGGCACAGGGACUCACAAGUUGAAAAUGCAUAAAUAUUCAGGCAACAGGGGAGAAUUCUUUAGCACCCCUUAAUCAGAUUACUCUCAUCUUGCCUAUUUAUCAAGUAUAUUCCCAGGUCACCUCCAAAGUUUCAUAUGGACUACAUCCUUAGAUAAAUGUUUGUUUUCUGAUCUCUUCAGACAAGAAAACAACUCAUGGAGAAUUGAAGUAAUAGGCACUGAAGCCAAUUGUUUGUCCAUCCCUCAGCCAGGAAUGAAACUCAGGAUUGCUAGCUUUUGAAUCUCUGUCCCUUUGACUUCUCCUCUGUUCCCACAGCUCUCUUCUGCCAUCACUGAGGGAAAAUAAGUUCACAAUGUAACAAGACGUGACAAAAAACUUUCCAGAGGAGAGAGCAUUUUGGAGGACAGUUGUGGACUUUGAGUAUUCUCUCAGUUUGAAUGAUGUAGUACAACUCUCUCUAAAAGAGGGAAGCAAAUGCUGGGCAUCUCAGAGAUGCAGGUCAGCAUAGCUUUUCUAAAUUCAUAAAAUUAAUUUGCUUUUAGGAAAAUCAAAGGACAGAAAAUCAAAGCAAAAAUUUCUUUAAGGCUUUAGCAAACUAUGGGUCAUAGGCCACUGGCUUUUAUAAAUAGUUUUAUUGGAACACAACCACAGUCAUUUGUUUUGUAUUAUCUAUGGCCACUUCAUACUAUAAUGACAGAGAAGUUAGGACAGAAACCAUGUGACUUGGAAGCCUAAGAUAUGUAUGUCACAGAAAACAGUUUGCUGACCUCUGUCUAAACUCACCAUUUCAGUCUUCUUGCCUAGUUAUGAUCCAGUGUGGCCCAUCAAAGGUAAUGAAGAGGUCUCAAAGGAAGUUUCCUCAGUAUUUUGCUACAGACAUCCCAGCCUUAAUUUUUUUUCCUGGCCUCCCCUAUAUUGCCCUUUUACUCACUAUAUCUCCAGCUAUGGUUUUCCCAUUUCUAAAAGAGAAUACAUGUAGAACCUUCUUCACUGGAUUACUGUGAGAAUUAAAGGAGAUGGGAUGAAGCACUCCAUGUAGCACUUGACACACUGUAAACAUUUAGUAAAUGGUGGCUAGGAUUCAAAUCCAUCCAUGCGUUUAGUGCAUAUUUAUUGAGUUUGUUAUGGAUUGAAUUGUGUCCUCUCCCCAAAUCCAUGUGUUGAAUUAUUAACCCCCAUUCCUCAGAACAUGACCUUUGAGAUAGGUAUUUUUUUACAAUGGUAACCAAAUUAAAAUGAGGUCAUUAGGGUGGCCCCUAAUCUAAUAUGACUGGUGUCCUUAUAAGAAGAAGAUAUGUAGAUACAGACACAAAGGGAAGACAAUGUGAAGACACAGGGAUAAAAUGGCCAUCUACAAGCCAAGGAGAGAGGCCUGGAGCAGCUCUUUCUUUCAUAGCCCUUGGAAGUAACCAACCCUGCUGACACUUUGAUCUUGGACUUCUAGCUUUCAGAACUAUGAGACAAUAAAUUUCUGUUGUUUGAGUGCUGUGGACUGAAUAGGUACCCCACCCCCAAAUUCGUAUACUGAAACUCUAGUCCCUAAUGUGAUAGCAUUUGGAGAUGGGGUCUUUGGGAGAUAAUUAGGUCCUAAGAGUAAAGCCUCCAUGGUGAUAUUAGUGCCCUUAGAAGAGAUGCAAAAGAAUUUGCUUCCUUUCUCUCUCCCUCCAAUGUGAGGACACAACAAGAAGGUGUCUAUCUGCAAGCCAGGAAGAGGGUUCUCACCAGGAAUCAAACCAGUAGGCAUUUUAAUAUUGGAUUUUCCAGCCACCAAAGUUGUGAGAAAUAAAUUUCAGUAAUGCAUGCCAUCCAGUCUAUGGUAUUUUUGUUACAGCAGCCUGAAGGAAGAUACUGAGCUACCUGAUUUUGAUCCUUAGUUAUAGCAGCCGUAGAAAGUGAAUGUAGAUUUCAAUAAGAAAAACAGACAGUUAUAGUAAAAUAAGAGGUGCUACUUUGGAUUAGUAACUCUUCUCUGGGGUAUUUGUAUUGUGACCUCAAUAGUUACAAGGAGCAAACCAUAUGAAAAUCUGGGGAAAACUCUUUCCAGCUGGAGAAAUACGUGCAAAGGCCCUGGAGCAGGGGUGAGCUUAUUGUUACAGCUUCUAGCUCUUCUACCUUUUUCUUACCUUGAAC